RNAcentral lists this ribosomal RNA (543 nucleotides) under uncultured Clavulina. RNAcentral describes it as "eukaryotic LSU rRNA". The stretch from base 177 to 330 matches the Rfam family "5.8S ribosomal RNA". Lineage: Eukaryota; Fungi; Basidiomycota; Agaricomycetes; Cantharellales; Hydnaceae. The record is from RNAcentral.
GGCUUGUCAUCCUUUGGCUGCAUGUGCUCGCCCCAGCAAUCCUUUUCCAAACACCUGUGCACCUUCCUUGUGAGAAUGGGAGAGAAAGGGCUUGUCUCUUUUAUCUCAUCUCAUGAUUCAUAAACGCUGUUCGUAAUGUUGAAUGCAUUUAUGCCGUCAAGGCUUUAACCUAAUACAACUUUUGACAACGGAUCUCUUGGCUCUCGCAUCGAUGAAGAACGCAGCGAAAUGCGAUAAGUAAUGUGAAUUGCAGAAUUCAGUGAAUCAUCGAAUCUUUGAACGCACCUUGCGCUCCCUGGUAUUCCGGGGAGCACGCCUGUUCGAGUGUCGUGAAACUAUCAAGCCAGGAUGCUUCCUGGUCUUGGUUUAUUGGGCUUUGCCGUGCCCCUUCAUUGGGAACGGCUGGCCUUAAAAGCAUUAGCUGACUCCAUGUGGUUAUUGGUAUUCUACUUGGCGUGAUAAUAAUCUGACCGCUGAGAAAGUGUCCUUUCGGGGAUGGCCAAUUUUCAUGUGGGGUUGCUCCUAAUCUCUGGAGCUUUCAUG